RNAcentral lists this ribosomal RNA (429 nucleotides) under uncultured bacterium. RNAcentral's name for it is "bacterial SSU rRNA". It matches the Rfam family "Bacterial small subunit ribosomal RNA", at positions 83 to 507 of the family's 1533-position model. The record is from RNAcentral.
CCCUGGUGGCGAGUGGCGAACGGGUGAGUAAUGCAUCGGAACGUGCCCAUCGAUGGGGGAUAACUGCGCGAAAGCGUUGCUAAUACCGCAUACGACCUACGGGUGAAAGCAGGGGACCGCAAGGCCUUGCGUCGAUGGAGCGGCCGAUGCCGGAUUAGCUAGUUGGUGAGGUAAAGGCUCACCAAGGCGACGAUCCCGUAGCUGGUCUGAGAGGACGACCAGCCACACUGGGACUGAGACACGGCCCAGACUCCUACGGGAGGCAGCAGUGGGGAAUCUUGGACAAUGGGCGAAAGCCUGAUCCAGCAAUGCCGCGUGUGGGAAGAAGGCCUUCGGGUUGUAAACCACUUUUGGCGGGAAAGAAAUGGUCUGUGCUAAUACCACGGAUUGAUGACGGUACCCGCAGAAUAAGCACCGGCUAACUACGUG